RNAcentral lists this ribosomal RNA (405 nucleotides) under uncultured bacterium. Its description in RNAcentral is "bacterial SSU rRNA". It matches the Rfam family "Bacterial small subunit ribosomal RNA", at positions 355 to 776 of the family's 1533-position model. The record is from RNAcentral.
UGGGGGAUAUUGCACAAUGGGGGGAACCCUGAUGCAGCGACGCCGCGUGGGCGAUGGAGCGCCUCGGCGCGUAAAGCCCUUUCGGCGGGGAAGAGAGAGGACGGUACCCGACGAAGAAGCACCGGCUAAAUACGUGCCAGCAGCCGCGGUAAUACGUAUGGUGCGAGCGUUGUCCGGAUUCACUGGGUGUAAAGGGGGCGCAGGCGGCCGGCCAAGUCCGGUGUGAAAGCCCGGGGCUCAACCCCGGGACUGCACUGGAAACUGGGCGGCUCGAGUUCCGGAGAGGCAGGCGGAAUUCCUAGUGUAGCGGUGAAAUGCGUAGAUAUUAGGAGGAACACCAGUGGCGAAGGCGGCCUGCUGGACGGACACUGACGCUGAGGCCCGAAAGCGUGGGGAGCGAACAGG